RNAcentral lists this transfer RNA (87 nucleotides) under Sutterella sp. RNAcentral describes it as "tRNA-Leu". It matches the Rfam family "tRNA". Rfam says of the family: Transfer RNA (tRNA) molecules are approximately 80 nucleotides in length. Their secondary structure includes four short double-helical elements and three loops (D, anti-codon, and T loops). The record is from RNAcentral. Lineage: Bacteria; Pseudomonadati; Pseudomonadota; Betaproteobacteria; Burkholderiales; Sutterellaceae.
CCCGGGAUGACGGAAUUGGUAGACGUAGCGGACUUAAAAUCCGCCGCCGUAAAAGGCGUACGGGUUCGACCCCCGUUCUCGGGACCA